This 311-nucleotide unclassified non-coding RNA is filed under the name uncultured bacterium. RNAcentral describes it as "contains 16S-23S intergenic spacer region". The record is from RNAcentral.
UGUACGUUGAUCAACGCCGUGACGAGAUCAUCCUGCGGGUGCGAUCUCCGCCUCUCGACGACGCGCGUGAAGUAUGCGCCGAACGCCUCCGCGGCAUCGCGGCCGGCUCGGAUCAUCUCGUCCGCCUCCUCCUCGUUGCGAGCGGGAUCAAGGGACCGGGCCGCCUGAGCGGUCCACCGCCGGAAGUCGGCCCGAUCCUCGACGGGAACGCCGAGGAGCUCGCAGAUGAUCGUGACCGGCAGCGGAUACGCGUAGUCCAAGAUCAGAUCCAUGUGGCCGCGUGCCUCGGCGGCAUCGAGCAGUUCGUUGGC